CCUACGGGGAGCAGCAGUGGGGAAUAUUGGACAAUGGGCGAAAGCCUGAUCCAGCCAUGCCGCGUGUGUGAAGAAGGCCUUCGGGUUGUAAAGCACUUUCAGUGGGGAAGAAAGCCUUGGGGCUAAUACCCUCGAGGAAGGACAUCACCCACAGAAGAAGCACCGGCUAACUCCGUGCCAGCAGCCGCGGUAAUACGGAGGGUGCGAGCGUUAAUCGGAAUUACUGGGCGUAAAGCGCGCGUAGGCGGUCUGAUAAGCCGGUUGUGAAAGCCCCGGGCUCAACCUGGGAACGGCAUCCGGAACUGUCAGGCUAGAGUGCAGGAGAGGAAGGUAGAAUUCCCGGUGUAGCGGUGAAAUGCGUAGAGAACGGGAGGAAUACCAGUGGCGAAGGCGGCCUUCUGGACUGACACUGACGCUGAGGUGCGAAAGCGUGGGUAGCAAACAGGAUUAGAUACCCCGGAGUC
Molecule: ribosomal RNA, 464 nt
Filed under: Vreelandella stevensii
Lineage: Bacteria; Pseudomonadati; Pseudomonadota; Gammaproteobacteria; Oceanospirillales; Halomonadaceae
Description: partial 16S ribosomal RNA
Rfam family: Bacterial small subunit ribosomal RNA
Source: RNAcentral